GAUGAACGCUGGCGGCGUGCCUAAUACAUGCAAGUCGAGCGAACAGAUGAGGAGCUUGCUCCUCUGACGUUAGCGGCGGACGGGUGAGUAACACGUGGAUAACCUACCUAUAAGACUGGGAUAACUUCGGGAAACCGGAGCUAGUACCGGAUAAUAUAUUGAACCGCAUGGUUCAAUAGUGAAAGACGGUUUUGCUGUCACUUAUAGAUGGAUCCGCGCCGCAUUAGCUAGUUGGUAAGGUAACGGCUUACCAAGGCAACGAUGCGUAGCCGACCUGAGAGGGUGAUCGGCCACACUGGAACUGAGACACGGUCCAGACUCCUACGGGAGGCAGCAGUAGGGAAUCUUCCGCAAUGGGCGAAAGCCUGACGGAGCAACGCCGCGUGAGUGAUGAAGGUCUUCGGAUCGUAAAACUCUGUUAUUAGGGAAGAACAAAUGUGUAAGUAACUAUGCACGUCUUGACGGUACCUAAUCAGAAAGCCACGGCUAACUACGUG
This 497-nucleotide ribosomal RNA is filed under the name uncultured bacterium. Its description in RNAcentral is "partial 16S ribosomal RNA". It matches the Rfam family "Bacterial small subunit ribosomal RNA", at positions 28 to 507 of the family's 1533-position model. The record is from RNAcentral.